RNAcentral lists this transfer RNA (166 nucleotides) under Klebsormidium nitens. It matches the Rfam family "tRNA". Rfam says of the family: Transfer RNA (tRNA) molecules are approximately 80 nucleotides in length. Their secondary structure includes four short double-helical elements and three loops (D, anti-codon, and T loops). Lineage: Eukaryota; Viridiplantae; Streptophyta; Klebsormidiophyceae; Klebsormidiales; Klebsormidiaceae. The record is from Rfam by way of RNAcentral.
GGGGCUGUAGCUCAACUGGUAGAGCGCCAAGAAACGGAUCCGUCCGUAGUGGUGGAAGCUUCUCGCCGCGCGCCGUGAGCUGGCCAAGCCGCUGCCGGGCUCCGCGCUUUGCCCAGAGACCCUGGGCCGAGUCUGAGAGAUGCGGGUUCGAAUCCCGCCAGCUCCA